Molecule: ribosomal RNA, 253 nt
Filed under: uncultured bacterium
Lineage: Bacteria
Description: partial 16S ribosomal RNA
Rfam family: Bacterial small subunit ribosomal RNA
Source: RNAcentral
UACAGAGGAUGCAAGCGUUAUCCGGAAUGAUUGGGCGUAAAGCGUCUGUAGGUGGCUUUUUAAGUCCGCCGUCAAAUCCCAGGGCUCAACUCUGGACAGGCGGUGGAAACUACCAAGCUGGAGUACGGUAGGGGCAGAGGGAAUUCCUGGUGUAGCGGUGAAAUGCGUAGAGAUCAGGAAGAACACCGGUGGCGAAAGCGCUCUGCUAGGCCGCAACUGGCACUGAGGGACGAAAGCUAGGGGAGCGAAUGGG